AGACUGGGAUAACUUGGGAAACCGGAGCUAAUACCGGAUAACACCGAGGACUUCAUGGUCCUUGCUGAAAGAUGGCUUCGGCUAUCACUUACAGAUGGGCCCGCGGCGCAUUAGCUAGUUGGUGAGGUAACGGCUCACCAAGGCGACGAUGCGUAGCCGACCUGAGAGGGUGAUCGGCCACACUGGGACUGAGACACGGCCCAGACUCCUACGGGAGGCAGCAGUAGGGAAUCUUCCGCAAUGGACGAAAGUCUGACGGAGCAACGCCGCGUGAGCGAUGAAGGCCUUCGGGUCGUAAAGCUCUGUUGUUAGGGAAGAACAAGUACCGUUCGAAUAGGGCGGUACCUAGACGGUACCUAACCAGAAAGCCACGGCUAACUACGUGCCAGCAGCC
This 394-nucleotide ribosomal RNA is filed under the name Neobacillus vireti. Its description in RNAcentral is "bacterial SSU rRNA". It matches the Rfam family "Bacterial small subunit ribosomal RNA", at positions 135 to 516 of the family's 1533-position model. Lineage: Bacteria; Bacillati; Bacillota; Bacilli; Caryophanales; Bacillaceae. The record is from RNAcentral.